This 484-nucleotide ribosomal RNA is filed under the name uncultured bacterium. Its description in RNAcentral is "partial 16S ribosomal RNA". It matches the Rfam family "Bacterial small subunit ribosomal RNA", at positions 30 to 507 of the family's 1533-position model. The record is from RNAcentral.
AUUGAACGCUGGCGGCAGGCCUAACACAUGCAAGUCGAGCGGAUGAAGGGAGCUUGCUCCUGGAUUCAGCGGCGGACGGGUGAGUAAUGCCUAGGAAUCUGCCUGGUAGUGGGGGAUAACGUCCGGAAACGGGCGCUAAUACCGCAUACGUCCUGAGGGAGAAAGUGGGGGAUCUUCGGACCUCACGCUCUCAGAUGAGCCUAGGUCGGAUUAGCUAGUUGGUGGGGUAAAGGCCUACCAAGGCGACGAUCCGUAACUGGUCUGAGAGGAUGAUCAGUCACACUGGAACUGAGACACGGUCCAGACUCCUAAGGGAGGCAGCAGUGGGGAAUAUUGGACAAUGGGCGAAAGCCUGAUCCAGCCAGGCCGCGUGUGUGAAGAAGGUCUUCGGAUUGUAAAGCACUUUAAGUUGGGAGGAAGGGCAGUAAGUUAAUACCUUGCUGUUUUGACGGUACCAACAGAAUAAGCACCGGCUAACUUCGUG